Molecule: ribosomal RNA, 572 nt
Filed under: uncultured bacterium
Lineage: Bacteria
Description: partial 16S rRNA
Rfam family: Bacterial small subunit ribosomal RNA
Source: RNAcentral
UAGGGAAUCUUCCGCAAUGGGCGAAAGCCUGACGGAGCAACGCCNCGUGAGUGAUGAAGGUCUUCGGAUCGUAAAACUCUGUUAUUAGGGAAGAACAUAUGUGUAAGUAACUGUGCACAUCUUGACGGUACCUAAUCAGAAAGCCACGGCUAACUACGUGCCAGCAGCCGCGGUAAUACGUAGGUGGCAAGCGUUAUCCGGAAUUAUUGGGCGUAAAGCGCGCGUAGGCGGUUUUUUAAGUCUGAUGUGAAAGCCCACGGUUCAACCGUGGAGGGUCAUUGGAAACUGGAAAACUUGAGUGCAGAAGAGGAAAGGGGAAUUCCAUGUGUAGGGGUGAAAUGCGCAGAGAUAUGGAGGACACCAGUGNGAAGNNACUUUCUGGUCUGUAACUGAGGCUGAUGUGCGANGNNGGNGAUCAAACAGGAUAGAUACNUGGUAGUCCACGCGUAACGAUGAGUGCUAAGUGUUAGGGGNUUUCCGCCCCUAUAGUGGCUGGCAGGCUAACGCGCAUUUAGGCCACNCUCCGCGCCUGGGGGAGGUACGGACCGNAGGGUUGGAAAACCUCCAAAUGG